RNAcentral lists this transfer RNA (69 nucleotides) under Scinax melanodactylus. Its description in RNAcentral is "tRNA-Val". It matches the Rfam family "tRNA". From Rfam's summary of the family: Transfer RNA (tRNA) molecules are approximately 80 nucleotides in length. Their secondary structure includes four short double-helical elements and three loops (D, anti-codon, and T loops). Further hydrogen bonds mediate the characteristic L-shaped molecular structure. tRNAs have two regions of fundamental functional importance: the anti-codon, which is responsible for specific mRNA codon recognition, and the 3' end, to which the tRNAs corresponding amino acid is attached (by aminoacyl-tRNA synthetases). tRNAs cope with the degeneracy of the genetic code in two manners: having more than one tRNA (with a specific anti-codon) for a particular amino acid; and 'wobble' base-pairing, i.e. permitting non-standard base-pairing at the 3rd anti-codon position. Lineage: Eukaryota; Metazoa; Chordata; Amphibia; Anura; Hylidae. The record is from RNAcentral.
CAAAACGUAGCUUAAUAAAAGCAUUUCGCUUACACCGAAAAAACAUCCGUUAAACCCAGAUCGUUUUGA